UGGGGAAUCUUGGACAAUGGGGGCGAACCCUGAUCCAGCCAUGCCGCGUGAGUGAUGAAGGCCUUAGGGUCGUAAAGCUCUUUCGCCUGUGAAGAUAAUGACGGUAGCAGGUAAAGAAACCCCGGCUAACUCCGUGCCAGCAGCCGCGGUAAUACGGAGGGGGUUAGCGUUGUUCGGAAUUACUGGGCGUAAAGCGCACGUAGGCGGACCAGAAAGUUGGGGGUGAAAUCCCGGGGGCUCAACCCCGGAACUGCCUCCAAAACUAUUGGUCUAGAGUUCGAGAGAGGUGAGUGGAAUUCCAAGUGUAGAGGUGAAAUUCGUAGAUAUUUGGAGGAACACCAGUGGCGAAGGCGGCUCACUGGCUCGAUACUGACGCUGAGGUGCGAAAGUGUGGGGAGCAAACAGGAUUAGAUACCCUGGUAGUCCACACCGUAAAACGAUGAAUG
This 446-nucleotide ribosomal RNA is filed under the name uncultured bacterium. Its description in RNAcentral is "bacterial SSU rRNA". It matches the Rfam family "Bacterial small subunit ribosomal RNA", at positions 355 to 815 of the family's 1533-position model. The record is from RNAcentral.